CUGACCAAUCAUAUGUCAACAACGAACACGCAGAACAAAGGUCAAUGUGAUAAGGGAGUUCACUUUGACAAAUAUCCAAACAAAGAGCAAUGUCUUGUUACAGAGAAAGAAAAUUUGAAAAUUUGACUUGGUGCGGGGCUGUAAAGAAUUACGGACAUCGAAUGAACUGAGACAAUGUGACAGAAAAGAGUUUAUGAACGCUGGAAUUGACAUAUCAUGGUUAUAUUAAAGAAAAUUUGGUCAGUAACUCAGUAUGAUAAUUCAGUGAGACGCAGUUUAUUCAAAUAGAACUCUACCGGACAAGCGCUUUUACUCUUUUGGUGGACAAAGGAGUACGUUGGCCCAAGUCCCGACGAAGUUAUUACCAUUAAAUGAAACCGCCGCUGGGGGAAUAACAACAAGAUCGAUAGGCUAAAGCAGCUAAACACGAAAUCAACAAGCGUUCAAUUGAUAUCAUUCCAUGUCUCAAUGCACAUGCUUCCUAAAGUGAAGCGGUAUUCGGCGCGUAAGUAUGCGGUGCAUUGACACGUUUGUUUCGUAUUCCGCAUCUCAAACCAACCAAAAUGUAUUAAAAUUCGUCUAUUUUAUAACAACAUUCUG
Non-coding RNA from Paramuricea clavata, 600 nucleotides. The record is from the annotation of a GenBank genome assembly. Lineage: Eukaryota; Metazoa; Cnidaria; Anthozoa; Malacalcyonacea; Plexauridae.